Chinchilla lanigera (long-tailed chinchilla) is the source of this 3061-nucleotide long non-coding RNA. RefSeq lists it as uncharacterized. NCBI's taxonomy places the organism in Eukaryota, Metazoa, Chordata, Mammalia, Rodentia, Chinchillidae. The record is from RefSeq and is a predicted model, not a curated record. The transcript has 7 exons.
UUAAAAAUAUGAUUUUACUUAUUUUUGUCAAGUUUCUUACUGCAUCUGCUGAAUGAGUCAACUGUCAUGCAGGGAAAGAGAAACAGCUCUGGUUAUCUCUUUGCAGGAGUACUUGAACACAGAUCACUGGAAGGUUACAACACAAUUGGCACACUAAUGGUGCUUUGUAGGUCUAGGAGGUUGUUCCUUGCUUUGAAGAAAUCAGCAAGUGCAGGAGCCAGAGCAGGAAGCCACUCACACAGUGUACACUGCAAAGUGCCAGUGAAAUCUCAUUUCUGCUGCCCAUGAAGCCCAUCUACCACCCCAUCAACACAGGAGCAAGGCUGGCUUUCUGUCUCCUGCCCUCCACAGCUGGUAGAGUUGCCUCCCACUGUCAGUCUAGGCAGUGCUGUUUCUAGGCUCCCCAUCUGUACAUUUAAAAAAGCAGAAGUGUUGCUGAGAUCCUAACAGGCAAUUCCACACUACUACUGAUUAAUCCAUGUUCAAAACAGAAGUGGAGGAGCCAGUGUGAAUUUCAUUCCCUGUUCUGUAAGUAGAGCUUUUCUUCACAUAGUCUCUUACCCUACUACAUGAUAUGAUUUAGGUAUAUUGAGGGAGACAGGUAGCUCUGAUUAGAAGAUUCCCUUUACACUAAGUGGAUAAGGAGUUGGAUGUCAAAUGCAAAUCCCUCUAAUAUUAGAAUAAAGGAAGAUUUAGUUUUGAAUGUCAAUAUCCAACUUAGGAAGAUCACCUUUCCCCAAACAUUCCCUUCAAUUUCUUUAGAGAAGAACUUCUAGGAUUUGGCACUGGGUAAUAACCACUUUUAUUUGCUUUCCAUUUUAGGUAGAGAUUGAAGUCUGUAUGGGCCAGUUCAAUUGAUUUCUUUCUUCUCAGCUCAGUUCUGUCUCAGAGUACCUGCCACUGAGGUCUAGAGCCCCUUGGAACCUCACAUGUAGGCUGGACUUCCCUCCUCCACAGCCGCUUGGCAGCACAGCAAGCUGGACAGGGCUCUGCCUCACGAGGACAUCUGGUGAAACCGUUCUUUAUUUAGUGCUAAUUUCUCAUCUGCAUCACCAUCUUUGGGACUUUGGGCUUAUUGUUUAUUAUACUUCUAGGCUUUUGUUUCACUGAGACCUUAGUGCAAAUGUGGCAAAUGGCAUGCGUCUAUUCUGUCAUUUCACUCAACGGGUUUUAUAUGCUUUCUAAGGCAUGCGUGAGCCCUCAAUAGAAACUUCUGUCUCUUUGGAACUCUACAUUGCACAUGCAAAGUCUGAUCUCUGAUCCACCCAGAACUUUCCUCUAAACCAAGAUGCUCUGCACUGACUCAGUUUCUUUGUAACUCUGGGCCUCAGCUGCCUUCCCUUCUCCCUCCAUGUGUUUGAGAAAUUCGUCAAGGCUAAAUUAAUUCCUGUUUCCUUCAUCAAGGUGAAAGUGACAAAUAUUGGGUGUUGCUCUUCUCUAAACUGCAAAUGACUAAUUAUUAUGUGCUAUAGGCAUGGGUUGCUAUUUGAAAAUCUGGCACUGCAUAUACUUUUCCUUGUAUAAUAACUCAUGGUCUUAAUUAAUUAAUACCCUACUAAAUUCCAGAAUUUAUUUAAGAUAUGAUCUAUGUAUCUUCACAGCAAUAAUAUCUAAUCUACUAAAAGCAGCAUCCCUUAAGGCAUAGCAUAUUUCUGAUUAUGGAUAAGAUGGUAUUACACACUUGUACAUAUUAUUGAUUACAUAAAAAUUUAUACCACAAUCAUCUUUUUUUCAUACACAUGGACACACACACAUAUUUACACACAGACAUACCUUCUUUUUAAUUAUCUUGCUUAUCUUUUGUUUCAUUUUUUGAAUCUCUACAAGAGUAGCUGAAGAAGUCAAGGAAAUCUGAAGUGAUAAAAAAGAAAGUGGAAACAAAAUUUAAAAAGGUGUUAAUAAUGGAUACCAAGAUGCUUCAUCUUAUCUUCCUAAUAUAAUCAUAGAGUGUGUUCAUCUACUUGUGCAAUAACGAGCAUUAGAAUUCUUCCAUGUUCUGCGUGCUGCCUCUAAUGUUUUUAAAGAACUCUCUGAUGAAGAGUGUGAAGGAAAAGUCUUCAUUUUGAUGUCUGAAAAAAAGAAAAUGGAACAAUGCCUCCACUGCUACACAAGUAUCUAUCCUGCCAGGGGACAUAGAAUGUUGCUAGAAACAAAGCUGAGUCAACUGACCAAAGUGCUCCCAGCUGAAGUCAAGGGCAACUCUGCCUUUUCGUUGCUGCUCUCCUGCUGUAAACAGUUUUGGAGGCAUGCUGAAAAUAAGAUGGAAAAUUCCAGAGAUCUACCUCUGAUGCUGGCUUUACCUCAGAGAUUAAACAAAACCUCCUGGAUGGCAAUCCCAAGAUUACUGGUGUCGUUAUUAUUACUGUACACAACUUUUGGGCAGUUGAACUCAGUGUUUACCUUGUUCAGUGACUGGUGAGGCCAUUUUAUCUAAAAAAGAGGUGACAGCAAACAACAUAUCUGUACCUGUUGAGGGUGGACAGCAAAUGUAAGGUAUUGCCCAGUUUGCUGAUGCAGAAAUACAGACCUCACAGAAAAACUGCUUUAGUUGGGAGGUAUAACCACUACCAUGAAUGGAGUUGGCCCAGGCAGAUAUGAAGUGAGGAGCUUUCUCUGCCAUGCCAUUACACCAUGGUGGCUCUCUUUGGAAGCAGGUGACACAUGGACAAAACCUCAGGAACAGUGAGCAAAAUAAGGCUUUUCUCCUUUAAGGUGUGCCUGUCAGAGGUUCUGUCCCAGCAGUGGAAAAGUGCCUAAAACAAUGUCUGUAAUCAAGAGGUCCUCAGAAUGCUUGAAGACCUUAUCUUAGCCUAAGAAUUAGUUAUCUGGGAUUCAAGCUCAGGUCUUUCUGGAAUAAAAGUGUCUGUUAUUUUAGGUAAAAAUGGUCUUAUGUUCUAAUGUUAUAUGCAAAAAUAUUCCGCAUCUGUUUUCAAAAUUAGUAUUUCUGAGUAUUCACGUGAAAAAGUUCCAGUAUAGCAAAACCUCUGCGGAAAUUCCUUAACCUUUCUGAAUUUUCGUUUAUUAGAAAUAAAAAUCUUGUCUAUGGUCACACCAUCCUGAA